RNAcentral lists this ribosomal RNA (965 nucleotides) under Ocellularia aff. allosporoides Lumbsch 19756e. Its description in RNAcentral is "eukaryotic LSU rRNA". It matches the Rfam family "Eukaryotic large subunit ribosomal RNA", at positions 151 to 1083 of the family's 3401-position model. RNAcentral also lists the same sequence under 1 other name. Lineage: Eukaryota; Fungi; Ascomycota; Lecanoromycetes; Ostropales; Graphidaceae. The record is from RNAcentral.
GUAGAAGGCGUUUCGGGCGAGGCCCCGGCCCAAGUCCCUUGGAACAGGGCGUCGCAGAGGGUGAGAAUCCCGUACGCGGCCGAUGGCCGAGCCCAUGUGAAACCCUUUCGACGAGUCGAGUUGUUUGGGAAUGCAGCUCUAAAUGGGUGGUAAAUUUCAUCUAAAGCUAAAUAUCUGCCGGAGACCGAUAGCGCACAAGUAGAGUGAUCGAAAGAUGAAAAGCACUUUGAAAAGAGAGUCAAACAGUACGUGAAAUUGUUGAAAGGGAAGCGCUUGCAACCAGACUCGUUCGCGGGUGCUCAGCCGUCCCUCGGGGCGGUGCACUCUCCCGCGUUUCGGGCCAACGUCGGUUUCGGCGGCCGGACAAAGGCUUCGGGAACGUAGCUCUCUUCGGGGAGUGUUAUAGCCCGGGGUGCAAUGCGGCCAGCUGGGACCGAGGACCGCGCAUUAGCUAGGAUGUUGGCGUAAUGGUUGCCAGCGACCCGUCUUGAAACACGGACCAAGGAGUCGACCAAUUUGGCGAGUGUUAGGGUAUUAAACCCUUACGCGUAAUGAAAGUGACGUAGGUGGGAACCUUCGGGUGCACCAUCGACCGAUCCUGAUGUCUUCGGAUGGAUUUGAGUAUGAGCCUUGCUGGUCGGACCCGAAAGGUACGUUAUAUUUUUCGUGCCUAGUUUGAUAAAUUCUUACUAACAUUAUGUUUAGAUGGUGAACUAUGCGUGAAUAGGGUGAAGCCAGGGGAAACCCUGGUGGAGGCUCGCAGCGGUUCUGACGUGCAAAUCGAUCGUCAAAUUUGCGCAUAGGGGCGAAAGACUAAUCGAACUAUCUAGUAGCUGGUUCCCGUCGAAGUUUCCCUCAGGAUAGCAGCAACGAAAACAGUCUCAUGAGGUAGAGCGAACGAUUAGAGGUCUUGGGGUUGUAAUCGACCUUAACCUAUUCUCGAACUUCGAAUAUGUGAGAAGUCC